UACGUAGGGUGCGAGCGUUAAUCGGAAUUACUGGGCGUAAAGCGUGCGCAGGCGGUGAUGUAAGACAGUUGUGAAAUCCCCGGGCUCAACCUGGGAACUGCAUCUGUGACUGCAUCGCUGGAGUGCGGCAGAGGGGGAUGGAAUUCCGCGUGUAGCAGUGAAAUGCGUAGAUAUGCGGAGGAACACCGAUGGCGAAGGCAGUCCCCUGGGCCUGCACUGACGCUCAUGCACGAAAGCGUGGGGAGCAAACAGG
RNAcentral lists this ribosomal RNA (253 nucleotides) under uncultured bacterium. RNAcentral describes it as "partial 16S ribosomal RNA". It matches the Rfam family "Bacterial small subunit ribosomal RNA", at positions 524 to 776 of the family's 1533-position model. The record is from RNAcentral.